ACGGAAGGCAGCAGUGGGGAAUAUUGCACAAUGGGCGAAAGCCUGAUGCAGCGACGCCGCGUGAGCGAAGAAGUAUUUCGGUAUGUAAAGCUCUAUCAGCAGGGAAGAUAAUGACGGUACCUGACUAAGAAGCACCGGCUAAAUACGUGCCAGCAGCCGCGGUAAUACGUAUGGUGCAAGCGUUAUCCGGAUUUACUGGGUGUAAAGGGAGCGUAGGCGGUUUUACAAGUCUGAUGUGAAAGCCCGGGGCUCAACUCCGGUAUUGCAUUGGAAACUGUAGAACUAGAGUGUCGGAGGGGUAAGUGGAAUUCCUAGUGUAGCGGUGAAAUGCGUAGAUAUUAGGAGGAACACCAGUGGCGAAGGCGGCUUACUGGACGAUUACUGACGCUGAGGCUCGAAAGCGUGGGGAUCAAACAGGAUUAGAUACCCUGGUA
This 434-nucleotide ribosomal RNA is filed under the name uncultured Pseudobutyrivibrio sp. RNAcentral describes it as "partial 16S ribosomal RNA". It matches the Rfam family "Bacterial small subunit ribosomal RNA", at positions 341 to 792 of the family's 1533-position model. Lineage: Bacteria; Bacillati; Bacillota; Clostridia; Lachnospirales; Lachnospiraceae. The record is from RNAcentral.